Molecule: ribosomal RNA, 253 nt
Filed under: uncultured bacterium
Lineage: Bacteria
Description: partial 16S ribosomal RNA
Rfam family: Bacterial small subunit ribosomal RNA
Source: RNAcentral
UACGUAGGGGGCAAGCGUUGUCCGGAUUUAUUGGGCGUAAAGAGCGUGUAGGCGGCUGGGCAGGUCCGUUGUGAAAACUCGAGGCUCAACCUCGAGACGCCGAUGGAAACCCCCCAGCUAGAGUCCGGAAGAGGAGAGUGGAAUUCCUGGUGUAGCGGUGAAAUGCGCAGAUAUCAGGAAGAACACCCGUGGCUAAGGCGGCUCUCUAGUACGGUACUGACGCUGAGACGCGAAAGCGUGGGGAGCGAACAGG